GACGAACGCUGGCGGCGUGCUUAACACAUGCAAGUCGAACGGAAAGGCCUUUUCGGAGGUACUCGAGUGGCGAACGGGUGAGUAACACGUGGGUGAUCUGCCCUGCACUCUGGGAUAAGCCUGGGAAACUGGGUCUAAUACCGGAUAGGACCGCACUUUAGUGUGUGUGGUGGAAAGUUUUUUCGGUGUAGGAUGAGCCCGCGGCCUAUCAGCUUGUUGGUGGGGUAAUGGCCUACCAAGGCGGCGACGGGUAGCCGGACUGAGAGGUUGGUCGGCCACAUUGGGACUGAGAUACGGCCCAGACUCCUACGGGAGGAAGCAGUGGGGAAUAUUGCACAAUGGGCGCAAGCCUGAUGCAGCGACGCCGCGUGGGGGAGGACGGCCUUCGGGUUGGAAACUCCUUUCGCCAGGGACGAAGCGUUUUGUGACGGUACCUGGAGAAGAAGCACCGGCUAACUACGUG
This 463-nucleotide ribosomal RNA is filed under the name uncultured bacterium. RNAcentral's name for it is "partial 16S ribosomal RNA". It matches the Rfam family "Bacterial small subunit ribosomal RNA", at positions 28 to 507 of the family's 1533-position model. The record is from RNAcentral.